AAUAGGUGCUUCUCCUCAGGUGGAGGAUAACCAUCUUUUCAGAUUAAAGUAGAAGCAGAAGUGAACCUAGAGAGUUCAACCCCUUGUUUCAAAGGUUGGGAAAUCAGCUCACCAAGGCCUCUGCAUUUGCCUCAAGUCACACAUCUGAUGAGUGGCAAAUGUUGAUCUCAAGUCCAGGGAUCAAGAUACUGGUCCAGGGUCAUUUCCAUGAUACUCUGUGAGGGAUAGAGGAAGCCUAUGUGCUGGAGGAAGCAUUGGACCUGGGAGUUAGGAACCCUGAGGUUCCACCCCAGCUGGGCCACUAAGCAGCUACAUAACAAUGGGCAACCUGGGUCUUCUCUCUGGGCUCCUGUUUUUUCUUUAUUUUGAAAAUGAAAGUUGGAUAAUAUAGUCCCUCCCAUCUCUAACAUCCCCCAAGUCUUUCAUGGGUGCCACUCAUUCUAUAUUCAGGCAGGCAGAGUUGGCAAGGGGUCCAGAUGUGUUCGGUAGAGAAUGGUUACAUGACAGUGUCUAGCAUACUAAAGGAAAGACCAGUGGCCUCAAGGCUUGUCUAAGGAAUUAAUAAAGAUUGAGAAUUAGGAGGUGCUAUGGCUUGACUGUUUGUGCCCCCUCCAAAAUUCACAUGUUGAAAUUCAGUAACCAAUGUGAUAGUAUUAAGAGGUGAGUCCAUUAGGAGGUGAUUAAGUAAUGAGGGCAGUACCCUCAAGAAUAGUACUAACAACAUUUUAAAAGGGCUGGAGGGAACUAGCUACAUCCAUUUGCUCUUUUGUCCCUUCUGCCAUGUGAGGACACAGUGUUUUUCUCUUCUAGAGGAUGCAGCACUCAAGGCACCACCUUGGGAGCAGAGAUCAGGCCCUCACCAGACACCAAACUUGUUGGUGCCUUGAUCUUUGACUUCCCAGCCUCCAGAACUGUAAGAAACAUAUUUCUAAUUUUGAUUAAUUACCCAAUCUUAGGCAUUUUGUUAUAGCAACCCAAACAGGCUAAGACAGGAGGUUAAAAAAAGAUUUUAAAAGAUAAUAAAUUACAAAAGAAAAUAAAUGAGAUUUGCAAUCUUGUUCACCUUCACUUACGUUAAAAAAGUGAGCUUCCACCUCACUACUCACAUAUUAAUUAAAUGCUGACACAUUUUGCUUGCUUUCUUACAGGUGAAUUCCUGUAACACAAUCUUCACUUAUGUUUUUAUUAACACGUAAAACAUCUUUACCUCCACUGUCUUCUCUUCAUAAAAAGGGUGAUUAUGAAAACAAGAGGCCCUUGGAAUUUCCCGCUGCUUUUUUAUUCUACCAACAAAGGAAAUUUAUCCAUUCUCUUUAGGUAUAAACUUCCUUGCUGUAAUCUUUAAAACUUUUAUUUAUUUCUUCUUCUUCUUAUAGAGAGGAGGUCUUGCUGUGUUGCCCAGGCUGGUCUCAAACUCCUGGCCUCCAAGUGAUCCUCCUGCCUUGGUCUCCUAAAUCACUAGGAUUACAGGUGUGAACCACUGCUCCAGGUUCUCCAUUGCUGUGAUAUUUUAAGCACACUAUUGCUGGCUUGAAAUUACUGUGAUUUUAAACAUGUACUGAAAGCCUUACUCUGUAGCAUCAGAUCCAAGAGCCUAUAUUUCUAGUGACUUUGAUUGACUUGGGCCACUUUUUUUUUUAAUGCUUUUAGAAACCUUUCAUUUCUGUUAUUUUGGUCAGUAUGUCUUAGAAAUCACUCAAGAUGGUGAGUAAAUUCUGAGAUAACUCUCUCGAUCUACCAGACAAUGAUGUUAUAAAAGCAUCCUGCUUGUGAACUAUGGUUCUUUGGCAAAUAAUCCUGAACUAGCUAGGAA
Molecule: long non-coding RNA, 1813 nt
Filed under: Homo sapiens (human)
Lineage: Eukaryota; Metazoa; Chordata; Mammalia; Primates; Hominidae
Description: HSALNT0160033
Source: RNAcentral